CAUUGAAACACCAGUUCCCAUACGAUCACCAAGCUUAAGCAACGUUGAGCUUGGUCAGUACGUAGAUGGGUGACCGCUUGGGAAUAGGAGGUGCUGUAAG
Molecule: non-coding RNA, 100 nt
Organism: Acanthosepion pharaonis
Lineage: Eukaryota; Metazoa; Mollusca; Cephalopoda; Sepiida; Sepiidae
Source: the annotation of a GenBank genome assembly